GAAGAAGCCAUUUCAGACGUCCAGCCCAGAUGAGGCUUCAGAUGACUCCAGCCCAGCUGCUAUCUGACUGCAACAACACGAGAUACCCCAAGGGAGAACCACCAAGCUGAGCACAGUCAACCACAGAACUGACCAUCACGAAGGAAAAAGGAGAUUUUUGCUUGUUAAAUCCCUAACCUGAAGCCUGGAAUAAAACAAGCCUUCAAGACUUGCUGCCAAGCAACUUGAGAUUACUCUCCUUUUUCGUCCUUGAGUUCCUGCAAACACCUAAACCGUGACAGGCCAGAGAGUUCAUCUCAGCGUCUGAACUAGGUCAUCAUCAUAAAUUCUGUCACAUACCUGAUUUGCCUCUGGGUGUGCUGUACACGCACCAGACCAUAUGUGUGUUCACGUGAGCUUGUCACUCGGCCAAGAAGAGGUAGAACAAGAAGGGUGACUUUAUUUCCCACCCCUCAACCCGCCAAAGUCAACGUCAAAGUGGGAGUGGGUACCGGGUCCUUUAACAGACUGCCACUGUAGUCAAAUCUGUGACCCGGGAUGCCGCCCCAGAGGCACCCGAGUCAAUGUCUUCCGAACGUAGUGGACAAGCGCGCAGCUGG
Molecule: long non-coding RNA, 599 nt
Organism: Dama dama (fallow deer)
Lineage: Eukaryota; Metazoa; Chordata; Mammalia; Artiodactyla; Cervidae
Exons: 4
Source: RefSeq, a predicted model, not a curated record